This 484-nucleotide ribosomal RNA is filed under the name uncultured bacterium. RNAcentral's name for it is "bacterial SSU rRNA". It matches the Rfam family "Bacterial small subunit ribosomal RNA", at positions 35 to 507 of the family's 1533-position model. The record is from RNAcentral.
GCUGGCGGCAGGCCUAACACAUGCAAGUCGAGCGGUAACAGAAAGAAGCUUGCUUUCUUUGCUGACGAGCGGCGGACGGGUGAGUAAUGCCUGGGAAUAUGCCUUAGUGUGGGGGAUAACUAUUGGAAACGAUAGCUAAUACCGCAUAACGUCUUCGGACCAAAGAGGGGGACCUUCGGGCCUCUCGCGCUAAGAUUAGCCCAGGUGGGAUUAGCUAGUUGGUGAGGUAAAGGCUCACCAAGGCAACGAUCCCUAGCUGGUCUGAGAGGAUGAUCAGCCACACUGGAACUGAGACACGGUCCAGACUCCUACGGGAGGCAGCAGUGGGGAAUAUUGCACAAUGGGGGAAACCCUGAUGCAGCCAUGCCGCGUGUAUGAAGAAGGCCUUCGGGUUGUAAAGUACUUUCAGUCGUGAGGAAGGCAUUGUAGUUAAUAGCUGCAGUGCUUGACGUUAGCGACAGAAGAAGCACCGGCUAACUCCGUG